RNAcentral lists this ribosomal RNA (490 nucleotides) under uncultured bacterium. RNAcentral describes it as "partial 16S ribosomal RNA". It matches the Rfam family "Bacterial small subunit ribosomal RNA", at positions 30 to 507 of the family's 1533-position model. The record is from RNAcentral.
AUUGAACGCUGGCGGCAGGCCUAACACAUGCAAGUCGAACGGUAACAGGAAGAAGCUUGCUUCUUUGCUGACGAGUGGCGGACGGGUGAGUAAUGUCUGGGAAACUGCCUGAUGGAGGGGGAUAACUACUGGAAACGGUAGCUAAUACCGCAUAACGUCGCAAGACCGAAGAGGGGGACCUUCGGGCCUCUUGCCAUCGGAUGUGCCCAGAUGGGAUUAGCUAGUAGGUGGGGUAACGGCUCACCUAGGCGACGAUCCCUAGCUGGUCUGAGAGGAUGACCAGCCACACUGGAACUGAGACACGGUCCAGACUCCUACGGGAGGCAGCAGUGGGGAAUAUUGCACAAUGGGCGCAAGCCUGAUGCAGCCAUGCCGCGUGUAUGAAGAAGGCCUUCGGGUUGUAAAGUACUUUCAGCGGGGAGGAAGGGAGUAAAGUUAAUACCUUUACUCAUUGACGUUACCCGCAGAAGAAGCACCGGCUAACUCCGUG